Bubalus bubalis (water buffalo) is the source of this 1522-nucleotide long non-coding RNA. RefSeq lists it as uncharacterized. The record is from RefSeq and is a predicted model, not a curated record. The transcript is spliced from 2 exons. Lineage: Eukaryota; Metazoa; Chordata; Mammalia; Artiodactyla; Bovidae.
AAAUAGGGAUCUUGAGGAGGAAAUGGAGAUUCUUACAGACCCCCUGCCGACACAACUAUUCACAGUAGCACACACAGACGCUCAAGAAUCAGGUUUUACAACUGGACACUUUUCCUGGAGCAACCAUGCAACCUAGAGGUUCGGGAAAAGCUAAAAAGACACUUCAGCAACAACCAGGGAAAGGGACUUCCACUCCAGUCGACCUCCAUUAGAUUUUCUCUGAGGACCCUUCAGGAGCAAAACAUCCCAAGAAAGUCAGAGGACGUGAGGCUCCCGACUGAUCUCGGAUGGUUUGCGGAUGUUGGAGGGGCAGGAUGGCCCUUCCCAGAUGCUUGAUCCCGGCUAGGCAGCGCCCCCGAAGCCACCAGCACUCACCAGUAAGUGAGAAUGGAGGAAAGGGGAACCAACCUUUCCCCGUUAUUUUUGGUAAAAGUGCGGAAGAGGCAACUCCCUCCAGGUGGAUGUAAGAGGGGAUCCUUAUUCAUAAAUGUGGGGGAGGGGAGCCAGCCACUCACCAGAGGAAGGGGGAAGGGAAAAAAGAGGGACGAGUCUAGGGUGGAAAAGAGGACUAGGAGGGUGAGGCGGACUGAUUUCAGAACCCCUCCCCUUUCGGGAGCCAGAGGUGUGGGGAGCGCCUCCCUCCAACCUCCGAUCAGACGCACAGAUUACUCCGAAAACUCCGGGAACUUACACAGGAUCAUCGACGUAAAGAGAAGCAACUCUGUACUGCCGACUUUCGCCUUUGUACCCAUCACGAUCAAGAUCCCGAUGCGACAGCAGUCACUGCGACCCUAGAAAGAGACACCAGCUUCGCCCACAGCAGCGCGGGGACUAAACUCCAGACGCCAGGUUGAGCCCAGCCCGGCCCUUCCCUUCACGCCCGAUUGGUCGGCGCCGCUCCUCUGCACUUUCCGAUUGGUGGAGGGAGCCGCCGCUCCUCUGAGUGAUUCACCGUCGCCAGGUGCAGCCCCGCCCACUACUCCCCGUAAGGCGGAUUGGAGCCUUUCCAAGCCCAAUCCGCCCCUGAUUGGGCCAGGAGACUGUCGCGUACGGAGACCCAGGCCUCACCUUCUGCAGGUGAGGACUCUCUGAUUGGGCGGCGUUCCUGAAGUAGGGACUUUAUGACUGGCUAGGCUCUGAACUGGAGCCGGAAGAUUAUCAGAGGAACACCUUAAAGGAUGUGGUCGGGAAGGUGGUUGGUCUGUGGGACGCGAGAGAGAGAGGCCUGCUUUUGUUUGUUCGUUGUAAUGGUCUGUUUGUUUAUUCGGAAUGUAAGUUGCAGCUGCAGAAACCUUGGUCAAGUCCUUUGUCAAGUGAAAACCACGUGUAUUAAUAUGUGAGGGUCGGGAGAGAAGACCCUCAAAGUGUGUUCCUCUGCCCACUCCACUCGCAGGAUUCAAGGCCGCGCUAGAGGAGGAAAGGGAAGAGGGGAAUGUAGCGCUCAGUUCGGUAGUGGGAAGGGCAGAAUCGAAUCACCAAACACACCCAGAUAAUAGAAACUGACCUACAGACGCUCUAUAAA